RNAcentral lists this ribosomal RNA (301 nucleotides) under uncultured bacterium. Its description in RNAcentral is "partial 16S ribosomal RNA". It matches the Rfam family "Bacterial small subunit ribosomal RNA", at positions 509 to 809 of the family's 1533-position model. The record is from RNAcentral.
CAGUCGCCGCGGUAAUACGUAGGUGGCAAGCGUUGUCCGGAAUUAUUGGGCGUAAAGGGCUCGCAGGCGGUUUCUUAAGUCUGAUGUGAAAGCCCCCGGCUCAACCGGGGAGGGUCAUUGGAAACUGGGAAACUUGAGUGCAGAAGAGGAGAGUGGAAUUCCACGUGUAGCGGUGAAAUGCGUAGAGAUGUGGAGGAACACCGGUGGCGAGGGCGACUCUCUGGUCUGUAACUGACGCUGAGGAGCGAAAGCGUGGGGAGCGAACAGGAUUAGAGACCCCUGUAGUCCCUGUCCUUAUACA